RNAcentral lists this ribosomal RNA (939 nucleotides) under uncultured bacterium. RNAcentral describes it as "bacterial SSU rRNA". It matches the Rfam family "Bacterial small subunit ribosomal RNA", at positions 522 to 1472 of the family's 1533-position model. The record is from RNAcentral.
AAUACGAAGGGACCUAGCGUAGUUCGGAAUUACUGGGCUUAAAGAGUUCGUAGGUGGUUGAAAAAGUUAGUGGUGAAAUCUCAGAGCUUAACUCUGGAACUGCCAUUAAAACUUUUCAGCUAGAGUAUGAUAGAGGAAAGCAGAAUUUCUAGUGUAGAGGUGAAAUUCGUAGAUAUUAGAAAGAAUACCAAUUGCGAAGGCAGCUUUCUGGAUCAUUACUGACACUGAGGAACGAAAGCAUGGGUAGCGAAGAGGAUUAGAUACCCUCGUAGUCCAUGCCGUAAACGAUGUGUGUUAGACGUUGGAAAUUUAUUUUCAGUGUCGCAGCGAAAGCGAUAAACACACCGCCUGGGGAGUACGACCGCAAGGUUAAAACUCAAAUGAAUUGACGGGGACCCGCACAAGUAGUGGAGCAUGUGGUUUAAUUCGAAGAUACGCGCAGAACCUUACCAACACUUGACAUGUUCGUCGCGACUCUAAGAGAUUAGAGUUUUCGGUUCGGCCGGACGAAACACAGGUGCUGCAUGGCUGUCGUCAGCUCGUGUCGUGAGAUGUUGGGUUAAGUCCCGCAACGAGCGCAACCCUCACUUUUAGUUGCCAUCAUUAAGUUGGGCACUCUGAAAGAACUGCCAGUGAUAAGCUGGAGGAAGGUGGGGAUGACGUCAAGUCCUCAUGGCCCUUACGUGUUGGGCUACACACGUGCUACAAUGGUAUCUACAACAGGAAGCAAGACUGCGAGGUCAAGCAAAUCCUUAAAAGAUACCUCAGUUCGGAUUGCACUCUGCAACUCGAGUGCAUGAAGCUGGAAUUACUAGUAAUCGUGGAUCAGCGUGCCACGGUGAAUGCGUUCCCGGGUCUUGUACACACCGCCCGUCACACCAUGGGAGUUGGUUCUACCUUAAGGCAAGGUUUAAAACCCUUGACCACGGUAUAGUCAGC